CCUACGGGUGGCAGCAGUGAGGAAUAUUGGUCAAUGGGAGAGAUCCUGAACCAGCCAAGCCGCGUGAAGGAAGACGGCUCUAUGAGUUGUAAACUGCUUUUGUACGGGAAUAAACGCAGAUACGCGUAUCUGUCUGAAAGUAUCAUACGAAUAAGGAUCGGCUAACUCCGUGCCAGCAGCCGCGGUAAUACGGAGGAUUCAAGCGUUAUCCGGAUUUAUUGGGUUUAAAGGGUGCGUAGGCGGUCGGAUAAGUUAGCGGUGAAAUCCCGAGGCUCAACUUCGGAAUUGCCUCUGAUACUGGCAGGCUAGAGAGUAGUUGUGGUAGGCGGAAUGUAUGGUGUAGCGGUGAAAUGCUUAGAGAUCAUACAGAACACCGAUUGCGAAGGCAGCUUACCAAGCUACUUCUGACGUUGAGGCACGAAAGCGUGGGGAGCAAACAGGAUUAGAUACCCGAGUAGUC
Molecule: ribosomal RNA, 460 nt
Filed under: uncultured bacterium
Lineage: Bacteria
Description: partial 16S ribosomal RNA
Rfam family: Bacterial small subunit ribosomal RNA
Source: RNAcentral